Molecule: transfer RNA, 60 nt
Filed under: Gossypium hirsutum (cotton)
Lineage: Eukaryota; Viridiplantae; Streptophyta; Magnoliopsida; Malvales; Malvaceae
Rfam family: tRNA
About the family: Transfer RNA (tRNA) molecules are approximately 80 nucleotides in length. Their secondary structure includes four short double-helical elements and three loops (D, anti-codon, and T loops).
Source: Rfam by way of RNAcentral
GGCCUAUUAGCUCAGUUGGUUAGAGCGUGAAGGUCGCAGGUUCGAGACCUGCAUGGGCCA